Non-coding RNA from Gasterosteus aculeatus aculeatus (three-spined stickleback), 492 nucleotides. Lineage: Eukaryota; Metazoa; Chordata; Actinopteri; Perciformes; Gasterosteidae. The record is from RefSeq and is a predicted model, not a curated record.
GAAGCCCAGAACGAGAUGGGACGUAGUAACUCCACCUUACUUCUGAUUACUUCUUCAGGAAAAGGAGGCUCCACAAGGUCAACAGCAGCUCUUGUGUCCAUAUCAGUUAUUUCCCUGGUGAUCAUGAUCCUCACUGUCCUCUUCAUCUGAAGAAAAAGGUCCUCACGAAGCUUUUUCCUGGGAAAGAGAUCAGACAACUGCUGAGGUGACUUUCAUCAUUUUAUAUAUAACUUAAUAUUAUGGCUGUCGAUAGAUUAAAAACAAUAACUAAUUAAUCGCUCGUUUUGAAAUGUAUUAAUCCCGAUUAAUGAAUGAUGUUGUUGCUACAAAGUUUAGAUAUUUUCAUCUUGUUCAUCUCCAAAAGGCCAGACUAUAUCGCAAUGUGGCCAUCGGGGGGGUUGUGGUUGUUUGGGGGUGUUAGGGAUUUAAGCCAGAAGUGCACCCCUAGUCAGGAAAUUAUAGUACGUGUAAUAAUGUUUAGUGUUAGAAUUA